ACAUGCAAGUCGACUCGAGUCUUCGGACUUGGGUGGCGCACGGGUGAGUAACGCGUAAAGAACUUGCCUCUUAGACCGGGACAACAUCUGGAAACGGAUGCUAAUACCGGAUAUUAUGGUUUUUUCGCAUGGAGGAAUCAUGAAAGCUAGAUGCGCUAAGAGAGAGCUUUGCGUCCCAUUAGCUGGUUGGUGAGGUAACGGCCCACCAAGGCAAUGAUGGGUAGCCGGCCUGAGAGGGUGAACGGCCACAAGGGGACUGAGACACGGCCCUUACUCCUACGGGAGGCAGCAGUGGGGAAUAUUGGACAAUGGACCGCAAGUCUGAUCCAGCAAUUCUGUGUGCACGAUGACGUUUUUCGGAAUGUAAAGUGCUUUCAGUCGGGAAGAAGUCAGUGACGGUACCGACAGAAGAAGCGACGGCUAAAUACGUGCCAGCAGCCGCGGUAAUACGUAUGUCGCAAGCGUUAUCCGGAUUUAUUGGGCGUAAAGCGCGUCUAGGCGGCAAGGAAAGUCUGAUGUGAAAAUGCGGAGCUCAACUCCGUAUGGCGUUGGAAACUGCCUUACUAGAGUACUGGAGAGGUAGGCGGAACUACAAGUGUAGAGGUGAAAUUCGUAGAUAUUUGUAGGAAUGCCGAUGGGGAAGCCAGCCUACUGUACAGAUACUGACGCUAAAGCGCGAAAGCGUGGGUAGCAAACAGG
RNAcentral lists this ribosomal RNA (699 nucleotides) under uncultured Fusobacteriota bacterium. Its description in RNAcentral is "bacterial SSU rRNA". It matches the Rfam family "Bacterial small subunit ribosomal RNA", at positions 53 to 776 of the family's 1533-position model. The record is from RNAcentral. Lineage: Bacteria; Fusobacteriati; Fusobacteriota.